UACGGAGGGGGCAAGCGUUGUUCGGAAUUACUGGGCGUAAAGGGCUCGUAGGCGGCCAACUAAGUCAGACGUGAAAUCCCCAGGCUCAACCUGGGAACUGCGUCUGAUACUGGAUGGCUUGAAUUCGGGAGAGGGAUGCAGAAUUCCAGGUGUAGCGGUGAAAUGCGUAGAUAUCUGGAGGAAUACCGGUGGCGAAGGCGGCAUCCUGGACCGACAUUGACGCUGAUGAGCGAAAGCUAGGGGAGCAAACGGG
RNAcentral lists this ribosomal RNA (253 nucleotides) under uncultured bacterium. RNAcentral's name for it is "partial 16S ribosomal RNA". It matches the Rfam family "Bacterial small subunit ribosomal RNA", at positions 524 to 776 of the family's 1533-position model. The record is from RNAcentral.